CUAUAUCCGUAUAAAGAGAUAUCGAUUUACCAACGGGGAAUGUCUUUGAUAUCCAAAAAGAACUGUUUUUCUUCUCAAUAUUUUUUUCAAUGUUGAUAAUAAAUACAUUUUCUGUUUCACAAGAUUUUUGAUUUUCGUUGUAUCUGAAGUUGUUCAAUUUAUAGUCUGAGGCUACUCAGUUGGUAUCUUCAAAGUUCGGGACAUCAGCAUUUGUACAUUUUAAUUUGUUUGGAAUAUUUAUUUUACCAUUUGAAUAUUCAUUGUUAUUUGGAGCUGUAUUGGAUUGGAUAGUUUGAAUGAAUGUUUUUUUUCUUUUAAGAAAUGAUAUUUUUUGUUUAUUUCGAUAUUACCCAUGUGGAUAGGCUAUAGCAGUGUGACG
This 379-nucleotide long non-coding RNA is filed under the name Mytilus galloprovincialis (Mediterranean mussel). The record is from RNAcentral. Lineage: Eukaryota; Metazoa; Mollusca; Bivalvia; Mytilida; Mytilidae.